UUGCAGUGGCCAAACGGUUUAAUUCUGAUUCCCAUUCCGACGUUUCGAUCAGACCGCCCUCAGGGUGGACCUUAGUGAUCGUUUUCACAAAAAAAAGGCCGGCAGAUGUGUGGAGACGGAAGGGAUGGAGGAAAUAUGGAUCGGACAGAAACAUGUGGCUGAGAUGGGAGAGCAGCCGCCAUCUUGUUGAUGGUUAGAGGGGCUGAAUGGCCUCCUCCUGCUGUUUUUCACUUGAUGUUUCAGUGUUCCUGUCCAGUGAGGCUCCGGAGGAAUGUGAAUAGAAAAAAAGUGUUUAGAAACAUAGAAGUGAUUUCAAUGAAACCUGCACAAUUCCUUUCCGGGUGGGAAUUGUAUGUCAUACCGGGAUGGGAAUCGAACCCUUAACUCUGAGAACCGGAAGAUGGUGCCAUGGGGACGGGAAAGAUCCAGAGGGAAACACUAAAAACGUAGCUGGUAAAUAUGGAAUAAUGUGGGGAAUGCAGCAGGUAGGUCGGACAGUGUGUGAGGGGCGAGGAGCAGAGUCACCGGUUUCUCGCUCCCAUUUCAAACGCAGAUCUGCAGCAUCUCAGGUUUUUGCUUCCGAGGCCCCGCCCCCGCUCUCACAGUCUCCGGAUGGGCGGGGGUUUUCUUUCCGUUCUCUGUUGAAGCUGAUCGUCUGUGGGGAGCCGGUGGACGGAUCUCGCUGCUCUCCGGACAAAUUGAUGAACUUCUCAUCGGUCAGUUUUGAGGCCGGUCACUGGGGUUGAACGCAACCGACAAGUUCCCAUCGUUAGACCUGCGGUGAGAGAUUUAUUGGAAGAAAAACCCACAGCUGGAAAGAAGCCACGAAUGAGAACGAGGGAACAGCGACAAGUGAACCAGCCAGAGGACUGAGAGUACCAACUGAAGAGAACCCUCUGACUCAGAGUUUCCAUUGAUUCAGUCAGGAGAAAGUUUGAGCCUCACCAGCAGGUGGAGCUGUCCUGCAGAGCGACCAAAGUGUGAACAAGACGACGACAAUCAACAAUCGUCAGUCAGACUCAGAAUGGACAAAG
Hypanus sabinus (Atlantic stingray) is the source of this 1034-nucleotide long non-coding RNA. RefSeq lists it as uncharacterized. NCBI's taxonomy places the organism in Eukaryota, Metazoa, Chordata, Chondrichthyes, Myliobatiformes, Dasyatidae. The record is from RefSeq and is a predicted model, not a curated record. The transcript has 3 exons.